GUAGGUGGCAAGCGUUGUCCGGAAUUAUUGGGCGUAAAGCGCGCGCAGGCGGUUCUUUAAGUCUGAUGUGAAAGCCCACGGGCUCAACCGUGGAGGGUCAUUGGAAACUGGAGAACUUGAGUACAGAAGAGGAAAGCGGAAUUCCACGUGUAGCGGUGAAAUGCGUAGAGAUGUGGAGGAACACCAGUGGCGAAGGCGGCUUUCUGGUCUGUAACUGACGCUGAGGCGCGAAAGCGUGGGGAGCAAACAGGAUUAGAUACCCUGGUAGUCCACGCCGUAAACGAUGAGUGCUAAGUGUUAGGGGGUUUCCGCCCCUUAGUGCUGCAGCUAACGCAUUAAGCACUACGCCUGGGGAGUACGGCCGCAAGGCUG
This 372-nucleotide ribosomal RNA is filed under the name uncultured organism. RNAcentral's name for it is "partial 16S ribosomal RNA". It matches the Rfam family "Bacterial small subunit ribosomal RNA", at positions 527 to 896 of the family's 1533-position model. The record is from RNAcentral.